AAGUCGAACGGUAACAGGAAGNAGCUUGCUNNUUNGCUGACGAGUGGCGGACGGGUGAGUAAUGUCUGGGAAACUGCCUGAUGGAGGGGGAUAACUACUGGAAACGGUAGCUAAUACCGCAUAACGUCGCAAGACCAAAGAGGGGGACCUUCGGGCCUCUUGCCAUCGGAUGUGCCCAGAUGGGAUUAGCUNGUAGGUGGGGUAACGGCUCACCUAGGCGACGAUCCCUAGCUGGUCUGAGAGGAUGACCAGCCACACUGGAACUGAGACACGGUCCAGACUCCUACGGGAGGCAGCAGUGGGGAAUAUUGCACAAUGGGCGCAAGCCUGAUGCAGCCAUGCCGCGUGUAUGAAGAAGGCCUUCGGGUUGUAAAGUACUUUCAGCGGGGAGGAAGGGAGUAAAGUUAAUACCU
RNAcentral lists this ribosomal RNA (413 nucleotides) under Escherichia coli. Its description in RNAcentral is "bacterial SSU rRNA". It matches the Rfam family "Bacterial small subunit ribosomal RNA", at positions 59 to 468 of the family's 1533-position model. The record is from RNAcentral. Lineage: Bacteria; Pseudomonadati; Pseudomonadota; Gammaproteobacteria; Enterobacterales; Enterobacteriaceae.